This 761-nucleotide unclassified non-coding RNA is filed under the name Hevea brasiliensis (rubber tree). Lineage: Eukaryota; Viridiplantae; Streptophyta; Magnoliopsida; Malpighiales; Euphorbiaceae. The record is from RNAcentral.
AAUAAGCAAGCAUGAGUUCCUUAAAUUCAGACAUACAUAAGCAUUUAAACCUACAACAAACCCAAAAUAGCGAUAGGCAACAUAGAAUCAAAGCUUAAGAAAGUGACUUCAUUAUGCCAAAAGGUAGCAACAACACAUAAUUACUCGUAACUAAAGUAUGCUUUAAACAAGGAAAUUCAUGCUUUCUUUAAGAAGUAGAAAUCAGAAGAGGAAAAGUUGUCAAAACGAAACAAAUUUAUCAUCCUAAGCUUAAGAAAAAGAAAAGCAAUAACAACUUUUCAGUCGACCCAAAUGAAACAUAAAGCGAGAACCAAAAGGGAGAUAAACUAAACUGAUAUCUUCGCUGUUGAGAAAUCGAAUUAGCGCUAGUGAAUACUAGAGGCAACCAUUGUCAUGCUAACUCAAAAUCACCUCACUAUAUGAACUAGCAGCAGGAUCCAACCAAAACGAACAUAACAAGCUAUAACGACUAAAACAAAGAAGCCAAGGAACUCCAGACAAACCAAGAUUAUAGACUAGAUACAACCAUACAACAAGAAAGCCGCAAAAGAACAAGCUGGGGAACGAGAGGGUUACAAGUAGUUUACCUUUUAUGGUGCAGCAAACUGGGAACAAACGAGCAGAAGCGAGAACGAACUUCCACAAUCGCACCCGCUGCGACGAAGCAAAACGUAUCUUUUCGACUUCUUUUCAACUCCCUGUGUGAUGAAAUUCUCUCUAAAACGAAGAAGGAGAGGAUCAUUCGACUCCACGACUCCGAU